CAGUAGAAAGUCCAGAGGCUCCUCCAAGUUUCUCCAGGGUCAUCUUCAUCUCAGGAGAUAAGCAGGAGCUUCUGAGCAGCACGGAUGAUGACACCUAUCUACCUGACGAGCCAAUGAUUUUAAUAGCAGGGAGUUCCUGGCAAGAUGUCCAUAGAAAUCAACUGGGAUCUCUGUUAGGAGGCUCAGGGUACACAAACUGUUACCCUCCACCACAGUAUGAAGGCGAAGACUCCCCAUCACAUGGUAAUCAUCACACUCAAA
Molecule: long non-coding RNA, 261 nt
Organism: Etheostoma spectabile (orangethroat darter)
Lineage: Eukaryota; Metazoa; Chordata; Actinopteri; Perciformes; Percidae
Exons: 3
Source: RefSeq, a predicted model, not a curated record